RNAcentral lists this ribosomal RNA (301 nucleotides) under uncultured bacterium. RNAcentral describes it as "partial 16S ribosomal RNA". It matches the Rfam family "Bacterial small subunit ribosomal RNA", at positions 509 to 807 of the family's 1533-position model. The record is from RNAcentral.
CAGCAGCCGCGGGAAUACGUAGGGUGCGAGCGUUAAUCGGAAUUACUGGGCGUAAAGCGUGCGCAGGCGGUUAUAUAAGACAGAUGUGAAAUCCCCGGGCUCAGCCUGGGACCUGCAUUUGUGACUGUAUAGCUAGAGUACGGUAGAGGGGGAUGGAAUUCCGCGUGUAGCAGUGAAAUGCGUAGAUAUGCGGAGGAACACCGAUGGCGAAGGCAAUCCCCUGGACCUGUACUGACGCUCAUGCACGAAAGCGUGGGGAGCAAACAGGAUUAGAUACCCCCGUAGUCCCUGUCUCUUAUAC